ACGCUGGCGGCAGGCCUAACACAUGCAAGUCGAGCGGUAGAGAGAAGCUUGCUUCUCUUGAGAGCGGCGGACGGGAGAGUAAUGCCUAGGAAUCUGCCUAGUAGUGGGGGAUAACGUUCGGAAACGGACGCUAAUACCGCAUACGUCCUACGGGAGAAAGCAGGGGACCUUCGGGCCUUGCGCUAUCAGAUGAGCCUAGGUCGGAUUAGCUAGUUGGUGGGGUAAUGGCUCACCAAGGCGACGAUCCGUAACUGGUCUGAGAGGAUGAUCAGUCACACUGGAACUGAGACACGGUCCAGACUCCUACGGGAGGCAGCAGUGGGGAAUAUUGGACAAUGGGCGAAAGCCUGAUCCAGCCAUGCCGCGUGUGUGAAGAAGGUCUUCGGAUUGUAAAGCACUUUAAGUUGGGAGGAAGGGUUGUAGAUUAAUACUCUGCAAUUUUGACGUUACCGACAGAAUAAGCACCGGCUAACUCUGUGCCAGCAGCCGCGGUAAUACAGAGGGUGCAAGCGUUAAUCGGAAUUACUGGGCGUAAAGCGCGCGUAGGUGGUUAGUUAAGUUGGAUGUGAAAUCCCCGGGCUCAACCUGGGAACUGCAUUCAAAACUGACUGACUAGAGUAUGGUAGAGGGUGGUGGAAUUUCCUGUGUAGCGGUGAAAUGCGUAGAUAUAGGAAGGAACACCAGUGGCGAAGGCGACCACCUGGACUGAUACUGACACUGAGGUGCGAAAGCGUGGGGAGCAAAC
Molecule: ribosomal RNA, 745 nt
Filed under: uncultured bacterium
Lineage: Bacteria
Description: bacterial SSU rRNA
Rfam family: Bacterial small subunit ribosomal RNA
Source: RNAcentral